UGAACGCUGGCGGUAUACUUAACACAUGCAAGUCGAACGGAAACGAUACUAGCUUGCUAGUAGGCGUCGAGUGGCGGACGGGUGAGUAACGCGUAGGAAUCUGCCUGAUAGUGGGGGAUAGCCCGAAGAAAUUCGGAUUAAUACCGCAUAAUCUAUUCGUAGUAAAGUGGGGGACUUUCGAGCCUCACGCUAUCAGAUGAGCCUGCGUAAGAUUAGCUUGUUGGUGGGGUAAAAGCCCACCAAGGCGACGAUCUUUAGCUGGUCUGAGAGGAUGAUCAGCCACAUCGGGACUGAGACACGGCCCGAACUCCUACGGGAGGCAGCAGUGGGGAAUAUUGGACAAUGGGGGCAACCCUGAUCCAGCAAUACCGCGUGUGUGAAGAAGGCCUGAGGGUUGUAAAGCACUUUCAAUUGUGAAGAAAAGUUAGCGGUUAAUAACCGUUAGCCUUGACGUUAACUUUAGAAGAAGCACCGGCUAACUCCGUGCCAGCAGCCGCGGUAAUACGGAGGGUGCAAGCGUUAAUCGGAAUUACUGGGCGUAAAGCGUGCGUAGGCGGUUUAUUAAGUCAGAUGUGAAAGCCCCGGGCUUAACCUGGGAACUGCAUUUGAAACUGGUCAAACUAGAGUAUGGUAGAGGAAAGUGGAAUUUCUGGUGUAGCGGUGAAAUGCGUAGAUAUCAGAAAGGAACAUCAAUGGCGAAAGGCAGCUUUCUGGACCAAUACUGACGCUGAGGUACGAAAGCGUGGGUAGCAAACAGGAUUAGAUACCCUGGUAGUCCACGCCGUAAACGAUGAUAACUAGCCGUUGGGGGGAUUUACCCUUUAGUGGCGAAGCUAACGCGUUAAGUUAUCCGCCUGGGGAGUACGGCCGCAAGGUUAAAACUCAAAGGAAUUGACGGGGACCCGCACAAGCGGUGGAGCAUGUGGUUUAAUUCGAUGCAACGCGAAGAACCUUACCUGGUCUUGACAUCCUGCGAACUUUCUAGAAAUAGAUUGGUGCCUUCGGGAACGCAGUGACAGGUGCUGCAUGGCUGUCGUCAGCUCGUGUCGUGAGAUGUUGGGUUAAGUCCCGUAACGAGCGCAACCCCUAUCCUUAUUUGCCAGCACAUUAUGGUGGGAACUAUAAGGAGACUGCCGGUGAUAAACCGGAGGAAGGCGGGGACGACGUCAAGUCAUCAUGGCCCUUACGACCAGGGCUACACACGUGCUACAAUGGGAAGGACAAAGAGCCGCGAAGCCGCGAGGUGUAGCUAAUCUCAUAAACCUUUUCGUAGUCCGGAUUGGAGUCUGCAACUCGACUCCAUGAAGUCGGAAUCGCUAGUAAUCGUAGAUCAGAAUGCUACGGUGAAUACGUUCCCGGGUCUUGUACUCACCGCC
This 1376-nucleotide ribosomal RNA is filed under the name uncultured bacterium. RNAcentral describes it as "16S ribosomal RNA". It matches the Rfam family "Bacterial small subunit ribosomal RNA", at positions 30 to 1394 of the family's 1533-position model. The record is from RNAcentral.